UUCAAGGAAUGCCAACACCCAAAUGUUACCCACUGCCCCCUAGUCACAGGGAAAAGGCGCUGGAUGGGAUUUCCCUGGAGCACGUGGCCUGCGGUGACCCAGCGCCACGAGGGUGAGCAGCCCGGGAAGAACCUGGCAGUCAGGACUGCAGCGUGUGCCUGGAUCCCCGCCGCGCUAGCUACGUGCCAAAGUCUCCCCUGCAAUUCAAAGUGCAGAUCAAUUUCCCUUUCUACCAGAAAGAUAGCUUUUGCUGUAAGAGGGGGAGAAGGGCUGGAGGCUCACGACGGUUUUUCUCCAAGAAUCUGGAGUUCGUGAAGGACACUUCCAAGAGGCGUUGAGUUCUCAUACGCUUAUCAGUCGAUUGAAGGAAAGAAGAAAAAGGAAAAAAAAAACUGAGUUCGCUGAAGCUGAGGCACCGUAGAUGCAAGAGACAUGGUUCCCCCACGUGCACCUGUCCACGAGUUUGCAGAGAGUGAGGAGAUUCCGGGAUUGGCCAGCCAGUCUUAUCCCAUGCGCAUUUCAACCCUUGGUGACCCUUUGCUUCUACGUUUAAUAAAGAAAAGUAAAUGUUUGCUUUC
Mesocricetus auratus (golden hamster) is the source of this 578-nucleotide long non-coding RNA. RefSeq lists it as uncharacterized. The transcript is spliced from 2 exons. The record is from RefSeq and is a predicted model, not a curated record. NCBI's taxonomy places the organism in Eukaryota, Metazoa, Chordata, Mammalia, Rodentia, Cricetidae.